CAGCAGCCGCGGUAAUACGAAGGGGGCUAGCGUUGCUCGGAAUGACUGGGCGUAAAGGGCGCGUAGGCGGUUUAUCUAGUUGGGUGUGAAAUUCCUGGGCUCAACCUGGGGGCUGCAUCUAAUACCGGUGGACUUGAGUUCGGAAGAGGGUCGUGGAAUUCCCAGUGUAGAGGUGAAAUCCGUAGAUAUUGGGAAGAACACCGGUGGCGAAGGCGGCGACAUGAUCCGAUACUGACGCUGAGGCGCGAAAGCGUGGGGAGCAAACAGGAUUAGAUACCCCAGUAGUCCCUGUCUCUUAUAC
RNAcentral lists this ribosomal RNA (301 nucleotides) under uncultured bacterium. Its description in RNAcentral is "partial 16S ribosomal RNA". It matches the Rfam family "Bacterial small subunit ribosomal RNA", at positions 509 to 807 of the family's 1533-position model. The record is from RNAcentral.